CCAGAAUGUAUUCAUUAAUUAUGUUUUCCUUGAUAAAAUAGGCGUGCAAGAAUAAACGUUCAAGAAUAGCCAAGAUUUGGACAGUUCAAUAUUUUCUUGUUGUUUUCAAUGGCUUCCAGUGCAAUGCAUCAUAGGUAGGGCAUAUCCACUCUCUUCCAAAGGCGGAUGUAAUGUUGUCGUAAACAAAGUGGCGCCCCUCUCCGCAACUCGCAGACGCACACUUGUCCAGCGGAUUCCACGAAUACGCGGAAGAACAUAAGAGGAAAGGCACACCAUCUGUUGAAGAAAAGCAAAUGUUACUUAUCAUCCACAGUCUACAAGAGACAAAUGUUUUGUUAUCGAACCCGACGAAGGCCAAUGUGCGAUGUGUCGGAGGGCUCGCGUCCCUCUACAAAGGCCCCUCAUUUCGAAACUCCAGCUUCAAGCAUGUCUAUGAUUUGGCCUUAACCAGAGGUGACUUUGCAUUUAGGGUAUAUAGUGUUCGAUAGAAAGUGAAAAGGAGUUUGUUAUGAGAACAUGUGCCGAGCAGCACUAAUAAAAACGCGAAUAAAAUCAUGAAUUUGUCCGCUCAUAUUUAUCGUACAAGCCGACCCAGUUCACCUCGUCGUCCUUCGUUAAUGACACGAUACCAAAUUAGGAAAUAAAAGUAUAGAGGCUUAUGUUUAGUGAAUCAGACCCGUCAGAGGAAAAACAUAUCAAGCAGAUCCCAUGAUGCACCAGCAAUCCGACAUUAGCAUACCUAUGUGGACGAAGGAAUCAAUCAGAGUCGCGCGCAUUCGGUUAAGACCGCUGACUCUGCAGAACGCCUUCCACAGUACAUUUACGUCUUCAAAGGAGAGAUGGACAAAUCGCAUGGAGAAGUUUGCAUUCACGCUACCGUUGCUA
Long non-coding RNA from Nematostella vectensis (starlet sea anemone), 885 nucleotides. RefSeq lists it as uncharacterized. The transcript is spliced from 2 exons. The record is from RefSeq and is a predicted model, not a curated record. Lineage: Eukaryota; Metazoa; Cnidaria; Anthozoa; Actiniaria; Edwardsiidae.